CAAUGCUUUCAGCAGAAUUUAGAAACACAACACUUCCUAAACAGAUAUUUUGAGUCUGAUGUUGAACGUUUGAGAGUAUAUCAGUGUGUUUGUUUGUGGUCUUUCUGUUUCUAGGUGGAAGCUGAAUUAGUGAGGAUGACUCCUGCUCCUGUCAUUUCUAAGCUCCUCACACAUCUUUACCUGCACAUGAGGAAAAUCACUCCUGUAGAAUGCAGAUGUUCAGAGGGAGAUGAUGCCACAUCUGGUCCAGCUGAUGGAAGGUCUUGAAGUUCUCUGACUGGCCUCGACUGAAGAUGGUCGUCUCACUGGAUUUAAGGUUCAGAUGCUCAGUAACAAACUCCACCAAUGAGCCAACAGGGAAGCUUUAGGUUUAUUAAAUGUUGUUAUGAAGGUUUCGCUGUUUUUCUUUGUGAAUGCAAUGUGCUCCAACUGAAACUUGAAUUAGAACUUAGAAGUAAAUCCUUCCACCUGAAAGCAUUUAGUUGCAUUAAUAACCUCAUAACAUUCUAAUUUUCAUUCCGGUCUUGGUUGGAAAUAGAAUCUCUGUAUUGAUUCAGGUAAAAACUGAACUUCACAGCAUGUUGGAGCAAAACAACCAGAUGAAAACUGUGAUGGUGUUGGAUUGUCAGGCCGUAAUGUUGCAGCUCAAAGCAGCUUUUCUAUCUCGGUUUAUUCUGACAUUCAGCUAUGAAUCAACACAGCAGAUGGUGAUCCAUGCUGUGGAAGUCUCACAUCUCCUGAUUUAAUGGAGCUGCUUUGCACUUUUUACACUGUUUAUUCACCAACACUUUAUUUAAUAAAAGUCCCAUCUAGUUUUUAUGAGGAAUGUGGUGUUUUCAGGGAUGAGAAUUUUCCGCGGAUCCGCGGAAUUCCGAGUUUUUUUCCGCCGAAAGUAUAGUUUUUGUGAAUCGUGUAAAUCCGUUGAGAAAAUUGUAGGGGGGUAGGGGUAGGCAAGCGGCCGGCCGGCCGACGCGUCGCGAGCCGAGGCUUGUGAUGGCCAUCCCGCCGCCGACAUCUUUCGGCAACGCGCAUUGCAAAAUCAGAUACAGCUGUGAGAACGGAAAUCGGCAUUGCUAUCUGUAAACAUCACUCGCUAUUUAUGUUAAUGACAACAUCCGCCUAUUUUCGGCGGGGGGGGGGGGGGCGCCACCUUCGGCAGACAUUUUCAGAGUUUUUUUCCAUUUGUCAUUCUCAUCCCUGUGUUUUAAUUUCUCAGUGAAUAACUGCAGUCUAAUGGAACAGCUGGAAUUGUAACAUCUGUCCUGAUCUUGAUCAUGAAGUAUUGAUCAGAAUACUUAUGGUCAGCAGCCAUCCCUGAAGUUUUACAUUAAAAUAUUUACUUGUGUUGUGAACUUUGGUAAGAAGCAGAAACUUUAGCGUUGCCAUGGAUACAUGAGUGUUAAAUUCUGUCCAUGUUUCCAUUUUGGGAAAUUCAGUCCAGCAGAUGAGUUUGUUUUUACUGGCAGCUACAUUCAGUCUGAGAUAUUAAGAAUAAGUAAAGGUGUAUAAUGUGGAAAUGAACAGAUUUUAUUUUUAUUUAUUCCUACAGCGGAUGCAGGGAAAGUUCCAGAAUGUGGAGGAAUUUAGUCUCACAAUCACAGACAAUAAAUAUUAUGUGAAAGUUGGGUUAUUGUUGUUUAUCAGCACAAUACAAAAAGAUUCAUGUUAGACAUAUUCCAGUUAAGACUCUAGAAUUUCAGGAUUUAUGUAAAUUUACCUCAAUAAUAUGAAUGUUCAGGUUAAGAUUGUGCAGUGAUAUUUAUUAUGUAAGUUUAGGUGAUUAAAGUUUAUGCCUCUGCACUACAAUAUUAUUUAAAUUGGCAUCAUUAUAAUAUUUAGGAUCAGACCCUACAGUAUUGAGAUUAAGAAAUCAAAUAUUCUAUAAAAUGUAAAUACACUGAACUCAUUUGGAUUUAUUUGACACAAAUCUAUCUAAAUCAAAAUUUUAAUUAUUUUUACUCCAAACGUUUACUGGACUGAUUUAAAUAUUGAAAUCACUCUAUUCUAAUCCUUUGCUGUACAUUCAAACCUGAGGCCUGAAAUAGAAACACACAAGUAUCUGAUUGAAGGAACUUCUGCAGAGUCCUGGUUCCAGAACAUGAUGAUAGAAUUAUAGACAAACUUUAACAAAAGCUGUCUGAGAGUUUACAGGUUUUUAUGUUAGAUUUCUUCAGUAAUUUAAUGAACGUUAUCAGCAAAAAUCAAGUGUUCAUUUGAUGAACUUCAUUUCCUAAAACAUCCAGAAUUGGAGCUCAUAUCUUUGGCAGCUGUAAAGUUUCUGCUCCUUCAAAGUUCAAAAUGAAUGAAUUCCUAAAACACUCUCAAUGCUGGAGAGCGUUUGUGAUGCUGAAGCAGUGACCAGUUUUUCUGUUUCUUCUCUGGAGAUGCACAAUGAGGGACGUCUGCAGAGACUGAGAAAGAGUCUCACCACAUCCUGACAUGAGGAAAAAGACUUUAUUGAAGACUACAAUGAGAAAAACUAUCAGACAGCAGAGGGCUGCAUUCAAGGUUUCCCAGAGACUAUGGGUUGAGGAGGAAUUGGAAGUUUGUCGGCUUAGACCUGGUGUCAUUCCAUCAGUGUUAAACUUCCCGGCUCAUCUUGGAAGAGUACGUGCCAGAAAGACCACGACCAAGCAGCCUUGAGAUCUUAGACAGCGUCUCCCUUAGGUCCCUCUCUAUCUCCCCACACAUCCACCAACCACUGGAACACAUCUCCAAAGUUCUGCUGGGCCAGCUGAGCUUCCCCUCAGAAGAAGUGCUGCCACCUGCCAGAUGAAGGAGCCUUUUGAGAGGCAGCUGGCAUCGUGAUUGGACUGUACUUUGGUCUGUUCCAGUCCAGCUUCAGUUCCAGAGACGGCAGGUGGGAUCAGUCAACGGAGGCCUGGUGGACGAAGGCAUGCAGCUGAGUACAAUCCAGAAAACAACAGAGGAGGAGUGCAGCAGCCAGAACAACCAGAGUAGCAUCGUAUGUCUCUUAGAAAACAUCAUAGUAUAGCCUUUGGUAUGAAAAAACGCCAUCAUAUACAUCGUAUAUUGUACAAAUAACAAGUCAAAGGAAAGAGACAUCAACUGUAAAAUUGUAGUAAUUGUGGGCUGACUGAUUUACUGAUUAUCAGUAUUUUAUUUUUGACUGAUUUACGGUAAUAAAUACAUUUAAAAAUGGUGCUACUUUGGCUCUGAACCUUUAUCUACCUGUGGUCGCUCUGUCUUCUGGAGUGAUUUGAUUGGUUAUACGUCACGAAUAAAACUCCUUUAACAUCUGUAAACAAAACAAAAACGUAUCAACAAAGUUUUCUGUUAGAAUUUGUGUUCUUCUAAGUUUAACUCCAAGAUUUUAAAUACUUUCAUUUACUGCAAAUGAAUAUCUACUCCAAAUGUCUCACUAAUAAUCAUUAUCAGCCUUAAAAACCCACAAAACACCCCUCUAUACUCGACCACACUUAGUACAGUCCGGUUCCCCCUUCUAUAAAUCUGCUUGGAAUCGUCCACUUCCUGUUUGUCAAAGUGGCCUUCUACCUGGACAGGUUUUGUUGGAGCUCAUGCAACAAACAUUUUGGGUAACUGCACUUUAAUAUGGAUGGAUGACACUGAAUUAGACUCUGUUUUAAUGAGUUAAGAUGUGUAGUUUUGUCGUUAAAUAGUAAAUUAUUUCUCAGAAUUCACAGAGAAAAGUCUGAAAUGUUUGCAAGGUUAGCGUCCCACAUGUUCUUUGGCUCAGCUAAAGCUAACUCUCUGCAACUUCUGGAUCUCUUGAGUUGCUUGUUGUUAAAAUAUCUUGCUAGAGGUGCUGAAGCUCAGAAAGUCUGAGAUGUUUGUUCAAAAUAAGCUCAUUCUCAAGUCUUAUCUGAAGUGUCCUCCUUUGUUUGAACUUUCCCUAAACCUAGGAGUUAAUGACAGAGCAGCACAUCCAGACUCGGUCUCAUUUAUGUAGAGAUUAAACUUCAGUGUCAUUCAUUGAUGUUAAAGUGCAGUUUUUGAAAUGUUUGUUGCACAUGCUCCCGACCAAACCAGUCCAGGUGGAAGACGAUGUGAAGAGAAAGCUCCAGAGGAUGAAUAUCACACAUUUCCGUUGGAAAUAAAUGUCCUUUAAUUAGACAUUGUCAUGCAAAAGUUGGAUUUCCCUUUAAUGAUGUUCAAAUCUUUGUUGAGUGUUUUGUUGAUGUUGGUUUCUAAAUGUUUUUUGACACACUGCCCCAAAGAUUAAAACCUUCUACGGCUCACAAGCUGCAACAAUUCACACAUUAUCAACUAUCUUUCUGAUUAAACUAAGAUAAAAAGUGAAAAACUGCCUGAUUCCUGCAUCAUGAAUGUAAAUCUUUUUGGUGUUUAUGACAGUAAACUGAAUAUAUUUGGGUUUGACAUUUUAUGAACCAAAACAAGAAAUGAAUUACUGGAGAAAACAAUCAACAGAUUAAUGGACAAAGAAAAUGUGUUUUCCAACAUAUAUGGCUGAAUUACUCCAACAUUACAAGAUACAUACUAUUUUAAUUCAAUUUUAUUUAUAUAAUGCCAAUUACAGGUCAAAUUGUC
This is a long non-coding RNA of Amphiprion ocellaris (clown anemonefish), 4530 nucleotides long. RefSeq lists it as uncharacterized. The transcript has 4 exons. Lineage: Eukaryota; Metazoa; Chordata; Actinopteri; Pomacentridae. The record is from RefSeq and is a predicted model, not a curated record.